GAUGAGCUAUAUAGUAAAAGAGUAACAACGAGGGAACCGUACCCUCUCAGUUUUCUACGAGGCCGAAGUUUUGAAUUCGCAGAGAGGAGAAUCCGAGCAGAGAUUUCGACGUAGCUUCUUCGCAGGAUUGGAAGAAGCAACAGAAGAGUAACUCGGCGGAGAGGAGAGUGCGGCGCAGGUGCUGUAGAUUUACGCCUCUCGGGAUUCUCUCGGAGAUAGUGUGACCUAAUUCCGGCUCUUAACGAGUCUCCAGCGACUGAAGGAGAAGAAGAAGAAGAAGAAGAAACAUGGGAGAGCGGAAGGUUCUGAACAAGUACUAUCCUCCGGACUUCGAUCCGGCGAAGCUGCCACGCGCCCGCAGACCAAAGAAUCAGCAGAUUAAGGUCCGGAUGAUGCUUCCCAUGAGCAUCAGAUGCAACACCUGCGGUAAUUACAUCUACAUGGGGACGAAAUUCAACUCACGCAAAGAAGAUGUCGUCGGCGAGGUUCGCUAUUCUAUUCUCCUUCUUUUGUCAAUUUUUCUAGGGUUUAUUGUGAUCGAAGUCCUGGUUUGUUGCGUAUGGCGUUCUUAUUGUUGGUAUUAUUGUAUUUCUGCAGACGUAUUUGGGUAUACAAAUAUUUCGAUUCUACUUUAAGUGUACGAGAUGCUCGGCCGAGCUUGCGAUGAAGACUGAUCCUCAGAAUUCCGAUUACAUCGUGGAGAGCGGGGCGACGAGGAAUUAUGAGCCGUGGCGUAAAGAGGAUGAGGAAUUGGACGGCUUGAAACGGAAGAGAGAUGCUGAGGAGAUGGGUGAUGCGAUGAAGGCUUUGGAGAACAGGACGUUGGAUUCCAAACGGGAGAUGGAUACUUGAGGAUGAUACUAUGACUUAUUAGGCUUUUUUCAUAGGCAAAGUAGUUGUUUAUUGAAUUGUUAUCGUGUGUAUAUGAAAACUGUAAAUAUCAUUAUGAACAAAAAAUCAAGUAUUUCUUUUUCAGUAUACACCGCUAGUCACUAAUUCAACAGUUCUUCAAUCAUUCAAUUGCGAACUGAUCAAAUUGUAAGAGUUUCGACUUAGUUCAAGGAAGAUUUUGGAGUAGGAUUAGUACUUUAAGUAAGAUUAGUAGGUAGUUUUGGAGUAGGAUUAGUACUUGAUUUUGAUUUUUUAAAAUAAAAAAGGCUCCAAUGAUUAAUAAACAAAAGUAGACUGAUUGAUUUGUAAAAUAGACCAAAUUAGAUGAGCUAUAUAGUAAAAGAGUAACAACGAGGGAACCGUACCCUCUCAGUUUUCUACGAGGCCGAAGUUUUGAAUUCGCAGAGAGGAGAAUCCGAGCAGAGAUUUCGACGUAGCUUCUUCGCAGGAUUGGAAGAAGCAACAGAAGAGUAACUCGGCGGAGAGGAGAGUGCGGCGCAGGUGCUGUAGAUUUACGCCUCUCGGGAUUCUCUCGGAGAUAGUGUGACCUAAUUCCGGCUCUUAACGAGUCUCCAGCGACUGAAGGAGAAGAAGAAGAAGAAGAAGAAACAUGGGAGAGCGGAAGGUUCUGAACAAGUACUAUCCUCCGGACUUCGAUCCGGCGAAGCUGCCACGCGCCCGCAGACCAAAGAAUCAGCAGAUUAAGGUCCGGAUGAUGCUUCCCAUGAGCAUCAGAUGCAACACCUGCGGUAAUUACAUCUACAUGGGGACGAAAUUCAACUCACGCAAAGAAGAUGUCGUCGGCGAG
This 1699-nucleotide long non-coding RNA is filed under the name Linum usitatissimum (flax). Its description in RNAcentral is "long non-coding RNA (LUSI_LNC002708)". Lineage: Eukaryota; Viridiplantae; Streptophyta; Magnoliopsida; Malpighiales; Linaceae. The record is from RNAcentral.